ACUGACGUCACAGUGACGUAGGUCUCCGUCGUAGGGUCUUGCUGGUACUGGACGACGUUCACAGUGUCAUAGAGGUGGAGGGUGCCGGCCGCGUGGAGGGUGAUCUGCGGACCGAAAGACAGUGUGAACUCGGCCUGUGUUCCCGAACAGCGCAGUAACACGACAGGGCUUCUCACAACAAAGGUGAUUAUUGUAAGUUAGCAAAUGUAACCUAAUCAGAGGACUGGCCAAACAUUUCGUGAAAUGCGACCUUCAACUGGGAACCUAAUUGUUUCCUGAUGGAGAAUUCCUGUAAAGAUGCUGGCUGUAGUGAUAUUUGUAUGCUGGCCCCUAAUAACUCUUACACAUGUGCCUGCCCUGUGGACAAGGAACUCGGUAUAGAUCAGCAGUUUUUCAGAGGUCGAUGUUAUGGUCUGACUGAGGCAAGAACUUGAUUGCAGCAGCUGGCACAGAUGGAUCCUCACCACAACCGUUCGUGGUCGGCGUGCACUGACCCGAUGGAAUGACCAUAGACAUUGGCAAAGAGCACUUGUAGUGAGUGGAUACUGAGCUGCAGUCCAUAGAAUCCAUCAACUCAGAUGGUAGUGAUCGCAGGGUGGAGAAUCCCUGUAAAGAUGCUGCCUGCAGUGAUCAUUGUAUGCUGGCCCCUAACAACUCUUACACAUGUGCCUACCCUGUGGACAAGGAACUCAGUAUCGAUCAGAAUUUGUGCAGAGCAAGCAAACAACCAAUCCCAUAGUGUUCCUGAAAAUGUAUGCCUGUUUUGAUUUCUGAACUCUUACACCUGUAAUCAGGAGAAGGUACUAAGAACUGGACUUGAACACAAUCUGCAGA
Schistocerca nitens (vagrant locust) is the source of this 834-nucleotide long non-coding RNA. RefSeq lists it as uncharacterized. The transcript is spliced from 5 exons. NCBI's taxonomy places the organism in Eukaryota, Metazoa, Arthropoda, Insecta, Orthoptera, Acrididae. The record is from RefSeq and is a predicted model, not a curated record.